RNAcentral lists this ribosomal RNA (251 nucleotides) under uncultured prokaryote. RNAcentral's name for it is "partial 16S rRNA". It matches the Rfam family "Bacterial small subunit ribosomal RNA", at positions 525 to 775 of the family's 1533-position model. The record is from RNAcentral.
ACGGAGGGUGCAAGCGUUGUCCGGAAUCAUUGGGCGUAAAGCGUUCGUAGGCGGCAUACCAAGUCUGGGGUUAAAUCCCGGGGCUCAACUCCGGUCCGGCACUGGAUACUGGUAAGCUAGAAUGCGGUAGAGGUAAAGGGAAUUCCUGGUGUAGCGGUGAAAUGCGUAGAUAUGAGGAAGAACACCGAUGGCGUAGGCGCUUUACUGGGUUAUAAUUGACGCUGAGGAACGAAAGCGGGGGGAGCAAAUGG